GAGAAGACAUCAAAUGAUCACAACAGCAAUGGUGGGAAACAACAACCGUGAGUAAAGAGAAGAAAGGAACACGGAAAUAAGGAGAAAGAAGAAGCAUCCCUCGAUGUCACUGAUAGGACAAUACUCACCGAUAGUGGUUUUGUACUAGCCCAAUUUUCAGUGGUGUCAGAAACAGUGGUUCGAGACCACUAAAUUUGACGAAUUUUUGAGUAGUCGGGAGGUCGGAUCAACGCAUUGAAUCACACUAUCCAACUUGCCGGUAGAUUUUGAUAAACAUACUAUGUUUUAUAUGGCAUGUAUAGGAAUUUAAAUGGCUGUGUAAAAUUAAAAUUACAUUUUGGCUAUGUUUCAUGUUAACUUAUAUAUGUAUGAUUUGUCAUGUUUGGUAUAAGUGUUGGUAUGGGUAAUGAAUAAAUUGGUAUAGCAUGUUUAUAUAGAA
Molecule: long non-coding RNA, 439 nt
Organism: Gossypium raimondii (Peruvian cotton)
Lineage: Eukaryota; Viridiplantae; Streptophyta; Magnoliopsida; Malvales; Malvaceae
Exons: 2
Source: RefSeq, a predicted model, not a curated record